UGGGAUGAGGACUGCAGUAUCUUCACCAUCAGCCAUAUCAGGCAGGUGGAGUUCAGGCAGGUGAAGUUCAGGCAAGACUGCAGGCACUGGUGGUGGAGUCGUGCACAGGGACUCGUCAACUGGCUGCAGGCAAUGAAUAGCAGGAUUACAGAAAGGAUAUGUGACCAUAAUUCCAUAGAAGACAGAAUUCCAAUUCUGGGAAGAAUCUGUGGAAGAAUUCCACAGAUACAUUGGCAAUUGGAAAUAGAAGUGACAUGGUCAGGAGGUCAAGAAAGAUAUGAGGACUGGACCCAGGAUAGCAGCCUCAUCAGACGUGGAGAUGUUAUAGUGGUCACAUGUGGGGCGAGCUUCUUCCCAACCUAGAGUAACACAACCUUGUAUACCAUAUAUGUCUGACCAAUUCUGGAGUACGCGGCUCCAGCCUGGAGUCCAUACCUUGUCAAGUAUACGGCAAAUCUGGAGAAGGUUGAAAGGUAUGCCACUAAACUAGUUCCAGAAGUAAGAGGUAUGAGUUACAGAAAACCAAUUCUAUUUGCUGACGACACGACUUUCAUUUACUACAGUCCUGACCCCUUUGCUCUAAAUGUCACAGUG
This is a long non-coding RNA of Procambarus clarkii (red swamp crayfish), 594 nucleotides long. RefSeq lists it as uncharacterized. Lineage: Eukaryota; Metazoa; Arthropoda; Malacostraca; Decapoda; Cambaridae. The record is from RefSeq and is a predicted model, not a curated record.